AGGACGAACGCUGGCGGCGCGCUUAACACAUGCAAGUCGAGCGAGAACCAGGCCUUCGGGCCUGGGGAAAGCGGCGAACGGGUGAGUAACACGUGGGUAACCCACCCUUGGUACCGGGAUAGCCCGAGGAAACUCGGAUUAAUACCGGAUGGCCCAACAGCUUCUCGGAGCGGUUGGAAAAGGUAGCUUCGGCCUCCGACCAAGGACGGGCCCGCGGUGGAUUAGCUUGUUGGUGAGGUAACGGCUCACCAAGGCUUCGAUCCAUAGCUGGUCUGAGAGGACGAUCAGCCACACUGGGACUGAGACACGGCCCAGACUCCUACGGGAGGCAGCAGUGGGGAAUCUUGCGCAAUGGGCGAAAGCCUGACGCAGCGACGCCGCGUGGGGGAAGAAGGCUUUCGGGUUGUAAACCCCUUUCAGGAAGGACGAAGCCACUCGGGUUAAUAGCCCAGAGGGUGACGGUACUUCCAGAAGAAGCCCCGGCUAACUACGUGCCAGCAGCCGCGGUAA
Molecule: ribosomal RNA, 510 nt
Filed under: uncultured bacterium
Lineage: Bacteria
Description: SSU rRNA
Rfam family: Bacterial small subunit ribosomal RNA
Source: RNAcentral